CCAAAGCGCUGGGAUUACAGGCCUGAGCAACCACGCCCGGCCAGGAUGGUCUCUUGAAUGAGAACUUUUUCUCCCUGCCUGUUAGUCACUGUGACAAAGGGGACCCAGGGAGACUGGAGCCCAACACUGGAUUCUUUGUCAGGAUGUCACGUCAUGGGGUUCAGGCUGCAGCAUGCAAGCCAUCGCUGGCUCCAAUAUCCCUGAACUCUCCUACACGGACUAAACGUCACAAAAGGCCCUUGAAGAGUCCCCAGGCAGCCUCCACAGCGAGAUAGCAUUUUGAUCUCCAUUGCCUCCCACCCAAAACAGGCAGCCUGUUUUCCUUCUCCUGUCCCCUCAUUGACUGCAAGCCCUUUAAGGGCAGGGCAUGUGUCUGUUCUUGCUUUUGGGUCCCCUGCACACCCAGUCGAGCAUGCCCGUACACAUGUUGACCUUGCCAAGUGAUCAGCACUGAUUUGAGGACUUGCAGGGCUCCCAGGACUUUGUAUUCCAGGACCUUCUUUUCCGCAGCUGGCACAGUUCCAGCCCAUGUCAUUGGAAAUGUGUCGAGCCUUGAAAUAUUAGCAUGGACAUCCGUUAUGACUCCAGCUUCCCCUGUGGGCGGGACAGGUCAGAGCAAGCCUACGCUGUGGCUACCUGAUGUCAAGGGGAAUCCCAUUUGCUGCCUCUGUGAAAUUCCUUGUUUCCAGGCCAGGGUCCAGGACAGCAGGGUCUGCUGCAGCCUUAGCUGCCUUGGUGCUGGGCCUGACUGCAUCUCCAGUGCAAGCAGCUGGCAGGGAAGCAGCUGGGGCUUGACCCCAGAGCCUCAGGAACCUGUGUGAGGAUCCAACCGCAGCCUCCUUUCCUCUCCUCACUCCCCUACUCUGAAAUCUCCACACAGGUCCUCUGGUGCUCUUCAAACUUGUAUUUCCUCCCAGGGGCACACAAGAGGCCUGAUAAGUCUCCUUCUUUACUUCCAGGGAAACAGUACCGACUUCGGUGAGGAGGCAAACGCUCCGAAUCUACUGCAGGUGUUAGUUCUGCAGAGGAGUCUUUCUGCUUAAGGGCUCAUUUGAUGUUCUGGAAACUUGCCAGAGUCACUGUGGUCUCCGAGGUUAUGAUCCUGGUUCUCCUCCUCUGCCUGAGCAGACUCAGCAGCAAAACACACAUGGCCGAGUCCUUCACCAGAGCCUCUCUGCAUGGACCCCACGGUGCUUUCCUGGGGAAUGAGGUUGGAUGCUAGAAACCCAGCCUGACUCCUGCGCUCCAAGGCUCAAGAACACUCAGAAAGCCUCUCUGAAAAGCCCCCUUGAGCAGAUGCCUUCAAGGUCUAACCGGCUCAGGAGGGUCACCAGAGCCCCACGAUGCUGGCUCAGAGAACCUGGGUAACAGGAGAAGCAGCUUUUCCCACUCACUGCCUCUGACACAAGCUCAUUCUCCACAGUCAUGUGAGUUUCCCAAACACCUUCCUCCCUCUGGCGUGUCUCUCUCAAGCCUCAGUCCAGUGCAUGUGAUUUAUGAAAGGCCGUGAGGUCAGGCCCACUCACGGCAACAGCCCCGGCCCCUUCCCCAGCCUCUAACCCGUUCUUCUUCAGUUACGCUUUCCAUGGCUCCUUCCUGAUUUGCUCAUCCCCAGAGAUGGAUGACCAGGGUUGUGAGCGCUGGUGUCUGAGUUCAUUCCAGAUGCGGGCUUGAAACUGAAGGAGCCAAGUCAGCCCCCUAAGGAAGGUUAUAAUUGCUGAAGGAAAUAAUGAGGAGGGAGGUGGAUGGACGGGCUAUGGCUAAGAGAUUGUGUGUCUUGGGACCUUGGCAACUCAAACUUCUCCACAAAAGCAGAGAAGGAACAAGGAGAAAGUCAGUGGCAGCUGGACCCCAAGCUCACCAGCACCCCAGCAGUGACUGUGUCUAAAGCAAGGUCAUCCACAUAGAUGACUGCAGUGAGAGUGGCUACUCAGUUGCAAAGUAAGAAUGAGCUCUCAUUAUUAGUGGCUGUUUUAAAAUCAUUUAACAAUCUGGGCUAAGGGCUGUUGAGAAUAUAAAACGGUGUGAGCCAAGGAACUUAGCAUCUGGUUAGAAAGGUAAAAGGAAUUCAUAAAUACACAUUUAAUGCAAAUAAAAGGCCAUAUGUGAUAGGUUCAUAAUGAACUUAUUCGACAAGCCUGUAUUGAGUGCCGACUGUGUGCUAGACUUAAGUUCCUUUUUAAAUUUGUUUUUACUUAUUUUUAAUUGACAAAUAAUAAUUGUACAUAUUUAUGGGAUAUAUGAGAUAUUUUGAUCUAUCUGUAUGUUAUAGAAAGAUUCAAUCAAUCUGAAUAACAUUCCCUCACCUGA
Non-coding RNA from Macaca mulatta (Rhesus monkey), 2310 nucleotides. The record is from RefSeq and is a predicted model, not a curated record. Lineage: Eukaryota; Metazoa; Chordata; Mammalia; Primates; Cercopithecidae.